This 3688-nucleotide unclassified non-coding RNA is filed under the name Hevea brasiliensis (rubber tree). Lineage: Eukaryota; Viridiplantae; Streptophyta; Magnoliopsida; Malpighiales; Euphorbiaceae. The record is from RNAcentral.
UAAGCAUCUAAAUUCCAAGAGAGAGAGCAGCUCCAUUUACAAAAUAGCAAAGAUACAUUUAUAAUUUUAAUUAGAUAACAGGAAAAUCAAUUACAUACAAUUAUGAAAGCUAGCAUUAGACAAAAGAAUCAUGGUAUUUAAGGCUUUUAUACCAUUUCACCAUCAAAGACCCCACUAUGAGAAAAGGGAAAACAUAGAGUAGAGUUGGAGAGUAUAGAAACCUCAAGAACACAACACUAUAAACAUUUUUCACACAUCCUACCUAUGACCUAUAAUAACUCAAAAACACAUAUUUCAAAGUAUAGGACUAUAAACAGUGUUUACACAUCCUACCAAAAUGCCCAGCUCUCUAGAAAUCAUUUUAGCAAGAAUUCAUGCGUAUAAUCAGGACUGGCAAGAAGGUCAAAAGGUUUGGUACCUAUGGCGUCUUUAAGGAUUGUAAUUUGACCUUCCUUGAGAAGAAUGUCUUCAUCAAGGGCCUCUAUCUUCUUCUUCAAGAUGCUUACCUCUGAAUUCAAGAGCAUAUUCUUCUCAUUGUAUUGCUUCACUUCCUCCCAUAUCAAAUCUCUCUCCUCAGAAACUUUGGGUAGAAUGCCCCUUAUGAUUGCUAGCUCCUUCAUAGAUUCUUGGAGGUCAUUUUGAAGCCGACUUAUACUAUCAUCCUUCUUUUGCAUCUGAAGUUCUAAAUCUUUCAACUUGUGGCUGACACAGGAGAGGUUGUCCAUUGCACUAUGGACUUCACAUUUGAGGAUGUCAUUGCCUCUCACUGCUGCUGCCAGUUCAGCCUGCAACUGCUCAACCUCCAACUCUUUAGUGCACAGCUUCUCUCUUAAUAGACUUGUAAGCAAAAUUUCUGCUUUGAGCUCAAAUUUUAAUGUUUCCUAAACAAAAGAAAGGAAAAAAACCAAUAAUAGCAUUGGUGAUUGAAAACAAGUCUACUAGACAACGCAAAUCUCAGAAGAACCUAAAUCAACAAACUGAACAAUUGUCCUUGAUUUAAAUAGCAGCUCACCUCUGAAGCUUGAUGAUUUAGUUUUGCUGAACCAUCAACAUUAGUGCAUGGCACCUCAAAUUUUGAUGCAACUGAACUGGACUUCUCCUGCAGCAAAGAAGAUAUUGUCUGCAAACUCCUCAUUAGAUUCUCAGUUCCUUGCUUAAAGCCUUGAACUUUUGCAUCGGCUUCAACAACAAACUGCCCGUCUAAACCAUUUCCAAUAAGUUCUAUACCCUGCUUAGUUUCUGGAAUUUGGCCUGCUUUCCCUUUGAUGAAUUCCAAUAACCUGGAGCAUAGCUGUGUGCUCUCCUUUAACAUUGAUAGCCCUUGAUUUUUCAGGCAGCAUACAUGGGUCCUCAUUUCUUUAUCUAGUUUGAAAGUUAAAGCACCAAUCUCUCCUCCACUGCCCUUUAAGCGAUUCAAUAAACCAAUAUUCUCAUGUCGAAGAGAAUCAAUUUCAAUCCUAUGAGAUUCCACCUCCCUUCGCAAAGCCAAUUCUACCCCAGUCAACCUCAUUUGCUCCAUUUGCAAUUUUGUCACAUGCUUGUCAUACUUAUCCAAUAACUGCUUCUUCUCAAUUUCCUGACUAAAUGCUUCCUGCAAACCCUCAACUGUCUUCUCUUGUUCAUUGCAGGUUCUUAACAAUCUAGCAGUAGACUUUUGCAACUCUUUGCACUCCUUGUCCUUCUCUUCAAAAUUUCUUUUGAUGCAAUUAAGAUCUUCUUCUGCCACUCUGUACUUAUCUUGUAAUUCAGAAAUAUUUUCUCUUAGAUCAUGAUUCUCCUUGCUCACCUCUUGCAACCUUGAGGUCAGGUGUCUAAGUUGUUGCUCUGAAUAUUUAAUCACACUUCUGCUUUUUUCUUCCCUCUCACUAAAAGAAGAGACUUCCCUCUGAAGGGAGACAUUCUGCUCUGCAAGUUCUCUAACACGAGCUCGAAGCCUCUGCUCUUCUAACUGGUACUUCUCAAGCUUCAACGACCAGUUACUUGACCUUCUGUCUAACUCUUUUUCCAAUGCUGACUGCAAUUCACUCUUCUCCUUUUGUAGUCUUUGGGUCUGUGACUCCAGUUCUGCUUUUGCCAAUCUAAGUUCUUCCCUGGAAGUGUCUCUCUCAGAAAUUCGGGAGUUCAAAAGACCUGAAACCUCAAUAGCCAAGCUUAGUCUAUCCUCCAUUAAGUUCCUAAUAUUCUGAAUCAAGGAUGAUAUAUCAAACCCACUACCUUGAAGAAAGCAUUCUCGGUCAAGUUCUUCAGAAAGAAGCAAGACCCUUUCCUCAGCUUCUUUAGAUCUUCGUUGUAAUUCCACAUCUACAGCAUCCUCAAUUUGAACAAUGUUCAUAUCCCCACAACUGUUCCCAAAUAAACAAGUGUUUUUCUGAGAGCCUAAGAAAUCAUUUUCAUAGUAACUAUUAAUGGUUUCAUAAGGUUCCUCCUGUGAGUAACAUUUUCGGGAAGGAUCAUCUAUAUAUGAAUCAACACAUUUAUUCAUGGAUUCAGCAUAUAUAUCUUCAAUUGUGAUUGGCAUAUCAUGGUUAAACUCCUUCGAACUUGGUUUGUGAAAAUAAUGAGUUUGGGAGAGCCUCUCAAUAACAUUUUUUGCAAGUCUCCGUGGAGAUUCAUGAUUAAAUCCCUUCUCUACCCAAUCUCUGGAAGAAAAAUGAAGGCGGGUGUCUUUAGCAUCCUUAACUGAUUGAGACCUGUGCUUAUUUUUUAUGCCAUCUGUUGGUGAUGCAGGAGCUAUAUAUUGAACUCGUGGUGGAGGCUGUCCAGCAUCAUUUCCAUUCACAGCAAAAUUUCCUUGGAGAGUACAGUUUUUGGGCUUAUUUCUCUCUUGCUGCUGCUCUCCAUCAAUGUAGCGGUCCAAAACUUUGCUUGAGAUGCUACUAGAAGAAGAGUUUCCUGAUGAAUCAUGAUGAGAUUUAGAAGAACUGGAAGAUCCAGGCCUCUCUUGUCCAUAUGCAUUUUGAAUAGUUGUCACUUCAAAUCGCUUUGCUCUGGCUUGCCUCUCAGGUGUAAGAGCCCGCCUUCUAGAUGGAUGAUCAUGAUGACGAGCAGCACUGCUAAUGCUAGUAGAAGGAGAUCUACUUUGAUCACCCAUGUAAGAAAAAUCUCUUUGCUCCAGUCCAUCAACAAGAAAGGCAGCUGAUGACAUUGAGUGGCUUCUUCUAAGAUGUGAACUGGUGCUGGAGCUAGCGGGAUUAUCAUAAACUUGCUUUCGAGACUUUGAGAAUAAGCUUUUGGAACUCUGAAAGUUGUUGUCAGCCUUAUCACCACUUUGAUUGUUCAACCCACCUUCCCAUCCAUCCCAGUAAUCUUGUUUAUCAGUUGAUGGCAGACAACCAUUAUUGUUGUUUCCAUUGUCGGAGGAAGAAGAUCUGAAAAAGAAUAGCUUCUUCAUCUAUGUAUCUAAAACUGUUAUCUGUAGCUCAUGAAAAACAGUGGCUUCUAUCCCGGUCUUUAUAGUCAGUUCUGAUAAAAUCACUGAACCAUUAAUGUCGAGAUACUAAACCUUCUGAGAGAGAUUCAAAAUUCAAAAAAGGAACUAUUAAAUUACAUUUAAAACCCAAAAACCGAAAUUUAAGGAAGCUAUUGCUAGUCAAUGAGCUCUCAAGCCAGCUUAAUUUUAUCCAUCUUGGGGGGGAGGGGAGAGAGUGCAUGGUGGGAAGAGAGAGAAAGAGGGAGAUGGAUAAAGGGC